CUGCCGGCUAUAUAUAAGAGUAUUGGUGUGCUCAGCCAUAUUUGUGCAGAGCAAAUCAGGGUUGGAAGGAUUUUCUUUGAGUGAACACCUCUGCUCCCAUUGCUUACUCACUAUACUUGUGCUAAUUUCUUUUUCCUAAACUUGUGAAUUUUCACCUAGUCAUGUACAUAUCUUUUUCAGUGCAUCCCAUAGGAUUAGGAGGCAUCUGGAUACAUCAAAAGCUUAAAACCAAUGUGGCUGAGAAUGCAAUGAAGAAGAAAUUAGAAAAAAUGUAUACGCAUUGAGGAUCAUGAUCACUGGGUUGUCGCAAAGUUGGGGAUACAAUUCAAACCUCUAACAUUUUCUCUUGAUAAAAGACUCAGAAGAGUCCUGCUUUUACUGAAAGCAUAAAGAGUGUUUGCUGGAGUUACCAGCUUACAUCCAGGCACAAAAUUAGCCUCCACAGUUUCAUAAAUUUUCAUUCAAUAUAUUCUGAAAUGUAUCUAUCAAGAGAAAUUUUGGAGGAGGCGAAUGAUGUCACGAGCUCCUAGCAGAGACCGGAUUGGAUAAG
This 550-nucleotide long non-coding RNA is filed under the name Oryza brachyantha (malo sina). Its description in RNAcentral is "long non-coding RNA (OBRA_LNC001972)". Lineage: Eukaryota; Viridiplantae; Streptophyta; Magnoliopsida; Poales; Poaceae. The record is from RNAcentral.